CAGCGCACCACACAUGUGUCCCCUGACGCCCACACACUGUGAGAUGUCCGCAGUCUUAGAAGCGUUCGCAAGCCACACUGCGGCUCUAAUACACUUGGCCACCACAUCAAGUUAGAUGGAUGUAGACUGUACCAUGAAAAGCCGUAGCCUACAAUUCAGGAGGUGUUAAGUCGAUAUGCAAGAAUAAAACGUCAUCAGCGUUUAAUUGGCUAUUAAAGUUUAAAACAUUAGCCCUAAUCACAAAGCUCAAACGACAGUAGCUAACGAUUUAGAAACUAACCUGCACUGUAACUAACAGGCAAAUAAUUGUUUAGAUAUUUAUAAUUAAAAUAAUUAUAGGUUUGGAUUGGUUACCCACUGACGCAUCACAGCGACUCUGAUCUGUUGCUCUCUUCCUAUUGGUUGGUCAGCGGUGGUAGCAGCAGUCACAUUGUGAAAUGGUCAUCCGAUAUUUCUGACACCGUCAGAAUUCUGUCCCAGGGUUAGGGCUUUCCUUUGGUCCAGAACACACAAGACCACCGAGAGAGGUGGCCAGUGGCCACCGAGAGAGGUGCACAGGUGCACAGUGGCACGGUCUUGUGUUCAGAGAUAUCUCCAUGUUUCUUCCCCAUUACAGAGGGGUAGUAUAGUUAGUUUUAAUCUGACCUUGACAUA
This is a long non-coding RNA of Clupea harengus (Atlantic herring), 654 nucleotides long. RefSeq lists it as uncharacterized. Lineage: Eukaryota; Metazoa; Chordata; Actinopteri; Clupeiformes; Clupeidae. The record is from RefSeq and is a predicted model, not a curated record. The transcript has 2 exons.